AAUAGAGAAGUAACAACAAUUAGUUUCGACCUAAUAAAUAAGAAUAUAAUUUCUUCCUAUUU
RNAcentral lists this transfer RNA (62 nucleotides) under Aphrophora maritima. RNAcentral describes it as "tRNA-Arg". The record is from RNAcentral. Lineage: Eukaryota; Metazoa; Arthropoda; Insecta; Hemiptera; Aphrophoridae.